GGGGGGGGGGGGGGGCGGGCUGAGCAGAUGCAGGUCGAACGGAAAGGCCCUGCUGUUGUGGGGUGCUCGAGUGGCGAACGGGUGAGUAACACGUGAGUAACCUGCCCUUGACUUUGGGAUAACUUCAGGAAACUGGGGCUAAUACCGGAUAGGAGCUCCUGCUGCAUGGUGGGGGUUGGAAAGUUUCGGCGGUUGGGGAUGGACUCGCGGCUUAUCAGCUUGUUGGUGGGGUAGUGGCUUACCAAGGCUUUGACGGGUAGCCGGCCUGAGAGGGUGACCGGCCACAUUGGGACUGAGAUACGGCCCAGACUCCUACGGGAGGCAGCAGUGGGGAAUAUUGCACAAUGGGCGGAAGCCUGAUGCAGCAACGCCGCGUGCGGGAUGACGGCCUUCGGGUUGUAAACCGCUUUCGCCUGUGACGAAGCGUGAGUGACGGUAAUGGGUAAAGAAGCACCGGCUAACUACGUG
RNAcentral lists this ribosomal RNA (468 nucleotides) under uncultured bacterium. RNAcentral describes it as "partial 16S ribosomal RNA". It matches the Rfam family "Bacterial small subunit ribosomal RNA", at positions 38 to 507 of the family's 1533-position model. The record is from RNAcentral.